UACGUAGGGUGCGAGCGUUGUCCGGAAUUAUUGGGCGUAAAGAGCUUGUAGGCGGUUUGUCGCGUCUGCUGUGAAAAUCCGGGGCUCAACCCCGGACUUGCAGUGGGUACGGGCAGACUAGAGUGUGGUAGGGGAGACUGGAAUUCCUGGUGUAGCGGUGGAAUGCGUAGAUAUCAGGAGGAACACCGGUGGUGUAGACGGCUUACUGGACCACGACUGACACUGAGGCACGAAAGCGUGGGUAGCAAACAGG
RNAcentral lists this ribosomal RNA (253 nucleotides) under uncultured bacterium. Its description in RNAcentral is "partial 16S ribosomal RNA". It matches the Rfam family "Bacterial small subunit ribosomal RNA", at positions 524 to 776 of the family's 1533-position model. The record is from RNAcentral.